GUUUUAUUUAUUUUAUUUUUUUUUUUUUUAUAACGACUGGUAAUAAAUUCUAUUAGGCUUAAUGAAUUCGAAUUUUAUUAAUUUUUAGGGUUAAAUGAAUAUAUUGUAGUCGGUAAAACAAAUUGAGCUUAUAGAUAUUAGGUACAUAGUUUUAAUCAAUUAACGUGUUAUUUAUUAAAACAAAUAUUUAUUAUGUGAUGAAAUUUAAGCAUUCUUUACAAAUGUGUUUGAUAGUAAUUCAAAAAGCAAUAAUUAUUAUGUACUUAGUGUUCAAGCGACUAACAAUAACAAUUAACAAUAAGAAGUUCGAAAUCUAGUCAACUUUUUUUACUUAAUUAUUAUUUUAUUUUUUCUUACGGUUUUGUUUUAAAAUAAAUAACUUUCAGAAACUUAUUAUUUUUUAAGUGUUGUUAUUAUAAUUUGUAAACAGUCUUUCCAAAAAAUCUCCUGGUGCACACAGUGACCAAUGUUAGUUUGCAAAUUAAACAAUCAAGAAUAAGACUAAAACAUAUUAUUUUUCAUAAUAGAAUACUUACGUUUAUUUUUUUUUCUAUUAUUAUUAUUGUUAUUAUUAUUAUUGGGACCAAUAACCUCCAUUAAAAAAAACAUAAUAUCAAAAAAUAUUCUAAAAAAAAAAUUAAAAAAAUUAAAAUUAAAAAAAAAUAUAUAUAGAAUUGGAUGUAUGUUGGUAAUUUAUGGCCUCGUCUCAUUGGAUCAUCAAUAACGACAAAUAAUCAAAUACAUUUAACAAUAAAUCAUUAUUAGUCCGUUUAUAAUCUAAUAGGCCGAUGGAAAAUAUUUUUAUUACUUAUCUACCUAAAAACAUUACUUUAGUAAAUUAUUUGGUUAAAAGAAAAUAAAUAGGUAACAUGUUUACAUAUUAAAAAUUGAUAAGUUCCAAAUUAAUUUUCCAAGAGUACCUGCUUUAUUUCAUUUUCAUUUUCUGUUACAUUUAAAAAUGUUUUUUAGAUUCUGAAUUGAAACAAAAUAAAAAUUAUGUUUACCUAAAUUUAAAAUGACGCGAGUUCCGACGAACAUUGUCACAAUUUCGGGGUCACGUUAACAAAAAACAAAAAUGCAAAAAAAAAUUAAAUAGUUACCUAUCGAUCUCUUUUCAAUAAAAAUUAAAAAUUUGUAUUGCCUACAAAUUCAGUAGGUAUUUCUGUUCUUUUAUUAAAUUUUAAAAUGAUAUUUCGCUCAGUUUUUAGUAGAUAAUUAGAUAAUAAUGUUUAUAAUUAUAAUUCUGUUAACAACCGUGCGCUUAGAACAAACGAAUUCCAACCAACGAAAUACGGUCGAGUCUAAUAAUUCACAUCACGUUCUCCGUGGGUAUGCUAAGCGAAACAACAUUAACAAAACUAUUAAGCACGGACCGGACGAUUAACGGGGUUUCUUCGGUAUUGUUAUUAAGAGCACAAUGAUCGUCAAAAGUAUACCUACAACGUGCGGUAUAACAUUUGACUAGAUGUAAUGUGUAAUCGAUUUUCCGCAAUAUACACAAAUCUCAUACAUUAGCACGUUAAAAUUGUCGUACACAAAACGAAACCUUUUCAAAACAUCAGACACGUAAACUGCUAGAAUUUUUUUGUCCAACAAUUUCCUGUACAGAAGAAAAAACCGUUUAUUAGCGGUUUUAUUUAUCAAAUUUUUUCAUGUAAGAGUUUGUACCAUUGUAAAAAAAAAAAAACAAAAUAGAUAGUUGGCAUUAAUUAUUUUACUCUGCGUUGACCGUGAUAUCGAUUGGCCAACGACGACGGUUUACGUUUUUUUUUUUUUUUUCAAUUUUAUAUUAUUCGACAAUAUCACGAUUCUUGACUAAAUAAUCCUCUUGUACGAUGUAUCAUUAUAAUAUACGCAAUUCUAAAAACGAUCCGCCGUUUAAGACCGUUUGGAUAAUCUACGUGUCGAUUUUUUUUUUUUUUUUUUUCAAACUCAAAGUUCCCGUUCGUAAAACCGUAGGUCAGUUCAUGUUUAUAUCGUUUGUCACCCCGUGGGUUUGUUCGUUUUUGUUUCCUCCAUUCCACCCAUCCGCCGCCCAAAACGCACUAAUUUCAGGUUAAACGUUUGUGACGCACGUUUGUGCAUUUUCACAUCGCCCAGCUAAACGUAGUUUCUCAAUAAUAUUUACCUGCGCGUAAAACUCAUGACACAGUAGACAGUAUUGGAUUUAUUAUGAAUCGACCAACAACGUUGACGUAUUUAUAAACAUGUAUUUACUUAUUUUAUUUUUAUUUUUUUCAAUGUAAAACAAUCUUUUAUUAACGUGGGUCUAAAUAUUAAGUGCCUUUUAAACGCAAAUUUAAAUUAAAUUAACCAUCAGUUUGUUGUUGUUCAAUAACCCGACGGUAUUGAUUCUUGUUUUUCCGCGUGUUCGUCUUUCUCGGAUAACGUUUUCGGUAGGUUUUAAUUCGCUGUCUAUCGCGACAACGGCGUAUUUUUUAACGUAUUAUUAUAUUGCAUUAUAUACCACGUCGUCGCGGGAAAGUUUAAUUUUGUAAAAUAACAAUAAUAAUAAAAAACAAAAAAAAAAAAAAAAAAAAAAAAAAAAAAUGGUUUCUUUUAAAAAACUACCCAUCGAUUAACGGUUUUUUUUUUUUUUUUAGACGAUGGGCGGCGUAUAAUUAUAUAGCGGUUAUACCUUGUCCGUAGGCCGAAAAACUCAUGUAACAAUAAAGUUCUAUAAUAUUUUCAAAAUGUAUUGACGAAUUUUCUCAUUUUACAGGUAUUAGAUUUAUUGAUAAAAAAAAAAAAAAAACAAAAAAAACAAAUUAAAAUUGUAAUAAUACGAUAAUGUUACACCUAUUAUAUUAUUAUUAAAGUCUUUAGGCCGGCGUGGUGUUGUUCCGUGCACGUCCGACUCGAUAGUAUUAUGUUUGAUAGAGUACGGCAAAAGCGUUUUUUUUUUUUUUCUGUCUUAUUGCUAUGAUUUCAUUUUUUUCUACGACGUUAUAGAUUAUUACGUACAAUCGUAUUAGUCGCAUUUGUUUUUUUUUUGUUAUUUUGAUACGAACACUUAUAUUUUAUUUUUUCUGUUCUAAAUUAGCCACCGAUAAUAUUAUUGUACAUAUUAGAAACGUCUACGACUGCAAUACGUAUUAUAUUAUAUUAUUAUAAAACAUACAUCACAAAACGUUGCUACUGUGAUCGUUCAUAUUAUGUGAAAACGUUGGUAAUAUUAUUAAAUAGUUUGCCCGUAAUUUGUCGUACGAUUAAUAAUGUUAUUUAUAAUGUUGUUUAGCGUGUAUUGCGUGUACUUGCGCAUUCGACUCGGGACACAGAAAAAAAAAAAAAAAAAUAUAUAAAAACCCAAAUAUAAUAUAAUAUAUCGUCUAGAAUAUAAGAUAUCGCUUUAUUUUCAGAGGAAACAAACGUCGAACUUGUAUUAUUAUUAUUAUUAUAUUAUACACUCUUAUCAUUAUUUACAUUAUUUGUAUUUUGUACAUUCAAUUCAUUAAUUUUAGGUACAAUUUUUCGAGCUUUAGUCAAUUUUUUUAAUAAUCUUGUUAAAAAAUUAUAUAUAUAUAUAUAUAUUAUAUACGAACAAAAACCAAAUAUUAUAUAUUAUUAUAUUUUCAGUCUUUGUACUUAUUUACGUUUUAGAAACUAUACAAUAAUUAAUAC
Molecule: long non-coding RNA, 3621 nt
Filed under: Cinara cedri
Lineage: Eukaryota; Metazoa; Arthropoda; Insecta; Hemiptera; Aphididae
Source: RNAcentral